This 71-nucleotide transfer RNA is filed under the name Medicago truncatula (barrel medic). Its description in RNAcentral is "sRNA gene32477". The record is from RNAcentral. Lineage: Eukaryota; Viridiplantae; Streptophyta; Magnoliopsida; Fabales; Fabaceae.
GGGAGUUUAGCUCAGUUGGUAAAGAUAUUGCAUUUUAUAUGCAGGGGCCGGGUUCGAACCCCGGAUACUCA